RNAcentral lists this ribosomal RNA (691 nucleotides) under uncultured fungus. RNAcentral's name for it is "SSU rRNA". It matches the Rfam family "Eukaryotic small subunit ribosomal RNA", at positions 851 to 1569 of the family's 1831-position model. The record is from RNAcentral. Lineage: Eukaryota; Fungi.
CUAGGACCGCCGUAAUGAUUAAUAGGGACAGUCGGGGGCAUCAGUAUUCAAUUGUCAGAGGUGAAAUUCUUGGAUUUAUUGGAGACUAACUACUGCGAAAGCAUUUGCCAAGGAUGUUUUCAUUAAUCAGGAACGAAAGUUAGGGGAUCGAAGACGAUCAGAUACCGUCGUAGUCUUAACCAUAAACUAUGCCGACUAGGGAUCGGACGAUGUUAUUUUUUGACGCGUUCGGCACCUUACGAGAAAUCAAAGUGCUUGGGCUCCAGGGGGAGUAUGGUCGCAAGGCUGAAACUUAAAGAAAUUGACGGAAGGGCACCACCAGGGGUGGAGCCUGCGGCUUAAUUUGACUCAACACGGGGAAACUCACCAGGUCCAGACACAAUGAGGAUUGACAGAUUGAGAGCUCUUUCUUGAUUUUGUGGGUGGUGGUGCAUGGCCGUUCUUAGUUGGUGGAGUGAUUUGUCUGCUUAAUUGCGAUAACGAACGAGACCUUAACCUGCUAAAUAGCCCGUAUUGCUUUGGCAGUACGCUAACUUCUUAGAGAAACUAUCGGCUCAAGCCGAUGGAAGUUUGAGGCAAUAACAGGUCUGUGAUGCCCUUAGAUGUUCUAACCGCACGCGCGCUACACUGACGAAGCCAGCGAGUACUUCCUGACCGAGAAGGCCCCGGCUUCAUCUCAGUCGCCGACCAC